Molecule: ribosomal RNA, 253 nt
Filed under: uncultured bacterium
Lineage: Bacteria
Description: partial 16S ribosomal RNA
Rfam family: Bacterial small subunit ribosomal RNA
Source: RNAcentral
UACGGAGGGAGCUAGCGUUGUUCGGAAUUACUGGGCGUAAAGCGCGCGUAGGCGGCUUUGUAAGUUAGAGGUGAAAGCCCGGGGCUCAACCCCGGAACUGCCUUUAAGACUGCAUCGCUUGAAUCCGGGAGAGGUGAGUGGAAUUCCGAGUGUAGAGGUGAAAUUCGUAGAUAUUCGGAAGAACACCAGUGGCGAAGGCGGCUCACUGGACGAUUGUUGACGCUGAGGUGCGAAAGCGUGGGGAGCAAACAGG